UACGGAGGAUGCGAGCGUUAUCCGGAUUUAUUGGGUUUAAAGGGUGCGCAGGCGGGAAUUUAAGUCAGCGGUGAAAUCUGGUCGCUUAACGAUCACACUGCCGUUGAAACUGGGUUUCUUGAGUAUGGAUGAAGUAGGCGGAAUUCGUUGUGUAGCGGUGACAUGCAUAGAUAUAACGAGGAACUCCGAUUGCGUAGGCAGCUUACUAAGCCAUAACUGACGCUCAAGCACGAAAGCGUGGGGAUCAAACAGGAUUAGAUACCCUGGUAGUCCACGCCGUAAACGAUGAUUACUAGUUGUAUGCGAUAUACCGUAUGUGACUAAGCGAAAGCGAUAAGUAAUCCACCUGGGGAGUACGCCGGCAACGGUGAA
RNAcentral lists this ribosomal RNA (372 nucleotides) under uncultured bacterium. Its description in RNAcentral is "bacterial SSU rRNA". It matches the Rfam family "Bacterial small subunit ribosomal RNA", at positions 524 to 898 of the family's 1533-position model. The record is from RNAcentral.